This 1372-nucleotide ribosomal RNA is filed under the name uncultured bacterium. RNAcentral's name for it is "bacterial SSU rRNA". It matches the Rfam family "Bacterial small subunit ribosomal RNA", at positions 28 to 1381 of the family's 1533-position model. The record is from RNAcentral.
GAUGAACGCUGGCGGCGUGCCUAAUACAUGCAAGUCGAGCGAACGGACGAGAAGCUUGCUUCUCUGAUGUUAGCGGCGGACGGGUGAGUAACGCGUGGAUAACCUACCUAUAAGACUGGGAUAACUUCGGGAAACCGGAGCUAAUACCGGAUAAUAUUUUGAACCGCAUGGUUCAAAAGUGAAAGACGGUCUUGCUGUCACUUAUAGAUGGAUCCGCGCUGCAUUAGCUAGUUGGUAAGGUAACGGCUUACCAAGGCAACGAUGCAUAGCCGACCUGAGAGGGUGAUCGGCCACACUGGAACUGAGACACGGUCCAGACUCCUACGGGAGGCAGCAGUAGGGAAUCUUCCGCAAUGGGCGAAAGCCUGACGGAGCAACGCCGCGUGAGUGAUGAAGGUCUUCGGAUCGUAAAACUCUGUUAUUAGGGAAGAACAUAUGUGUAAGUAACUGUGCACAUCUUGACGGUACCUAAUCAGAAAGCCACGGCUAACUACGUGCCAGCAGCCGCGGUAAUACGUAGGUGGCAAGCGUUAUCCGGAAUUAUUGGGCGUAAAGCGCGCGUAGGCGGUUUUUUAAGUCUGAUGUGAAAGCCCACGGCUCAACCGUGGAGGGUCAUUGGAAACUGGAAAACUUGAGUGCAGAAGAGGAAAGUGGAAUUCCAUGUGUAGCGGUGAAAUGCGCAGAGAUAUGGAGGAACACCAGUGGCGAAGGCGACUUUCUGGUCUGUAACUGACGCUGAUGUGCGAAAGCGUGGGGAUCAAACAGGAUUAGAUACCCUGGUAGUCCACGCCGUAAACGAUGAGUGCUAAGUGUUAGGGGGUUUCCGCCCCUUAGUGCUGCAGCUAACGCAUUAAGCACUCCGCCUGGGGAGUACGACCGCAAGGUUGAAACUCAAAGGAAUUGACGGGGACCCGCACAAGCGGUGGAGCAUGUGGUUUAAUUCGAAGCAACGCGAAGAACCUUACCAAAUCUUGACAUCCUUUGACAACUCUAGAGAUAGAGCCUUCCCCUUCGGGGGACAAAGUGACAGGUGGUGCAUGGUUGUCGUCAGCUCGUGUCGUGAGAUGUUGGGUUAAGUCCCGCAACGAGCGCAACCCUUAAGCUUAGUUGCCAUCAUUAAGUUGGGCACUCUAAGUUGACUGCCGGUGACAAACCGGAGGAAGGUGGGGAUGACGUCAAAUCAUCAUGCCCCUUAUGAUUUGGGCUACACACGUGCUACAAUGGACAAUACAAAGGGCAGCGAAACCGCGAGGUCGAGCAAAUCCCAUAAAGUUGUUCUCAGUUCGGAUUGUAGUCUGCAACUCGACUACAUGAAGCUGGAAUCGCUAGUAAUCGUAGAUCAGCAUGCUACGGUGAAUACGUUCCCGGGUCU